Molecule: transfer RNA, 70 nt
Filed under: Sphingomonas aerophila
Lineage: Bacteria; Pseudomonadati; Pseudomonadota; Alphaproteobacteria; Sphingomonadales; Sphingomonadaceae
Rfam family: tRNA
About the family: Transfer RNA (tRNA) molecules are approximately 80 nucleotides in length. Their secondary structure includes four short double-helical elements and three loops (D, anti-codon, and T loops).
Source: Rfam by way of RNAcentral
UGUGGUGUAGCUCAACUGGAUAGAGCGCAUCCGGACGGUGAGGUUAUCGGUUCGAACCCGGUCACCGCGA